RNAcentral lists this ribosomal RNA (1111 nucleotides) under Triticum aestivum (bread wheat). RNAcentral describes it as "partial small subunit ribosomal RNA". Lineage: Eukaryota; Viridiplantae; Streptophyta; Magnoliopsida; Poales; Poaceae. The record is from RNAcentral.
UGGUGGUGUGGGCUCGGACGGUUACUCGUAAAGAACAAAAGGAAGGAAGGAAGGGGCGCGCAGAGGUCCGACGUGGCGACGUCGACGUCGAGGGUACCUCGAGCGCCACUCUCGGCGCCGUCGAAGGACGAGGAGGAUGGACAGCGUGGUAGGGGGCGCGCGGGAGCAGCGGCCGGCGGAUCCGGCGUCGAGGCCGGACGGCGACGGCCGAGCGGCGCACCGGCAUCGGCGCCGUCGAUAGCGGGAGUUGGGCCUCUGGUUUUGGCUCGUCUUACUGUGAAGUCUUUGACUCCACAAGCGAACGGGACAAACGAUACUUGGCGACUAUUCCUUUCCCGGCGGUCCGUACUUGGACGGUCGCUAAAUGUCCAGGCCUAAGUUCACAUGUUUUACGUUGUUCAGUAAGUGGUCAUUUCUACAGAAGAACCUAGAGUGACAGUGGAGUCCUUACUUUCUUAUGUCACUUGAGUUCGGACGAUCUUGGCUCGACAAGUCCUCGGGCGAGCAGAGGAAAGAAAUGCUCUCUCCAACCGCAGUCUUGAAGUUAGCCUCACCGAAGGGACCGGCGCUGCUUCUCCUUGGAGCGUGAACAUUCCCGACUAUAAAGCUCCGAGGGAAAACGAAGUACAAGUUAACUACGGUAAGUACGACCUCGGCGAUAUGUGACAACCGGUAGGGGUAGUUUACGCUAUCGACUUUAGUCGGCACACGACUUCGGGCCGCCACAUAAGCAUCGCUGUUGGAAGAAUAGGUGGGGGUGUUUGUCGCCGGACAAGAGAUAGCUACGUGAUUUCGGUGACUCUGUCUAACAACCCGGUCACUUGUCGUCGAUGUUGAAGAAGUACCUUCCCCUCGACCUUCUGGACACGUCUAGGACACCGGACCACUUGAUGUCGUCGUUCCAAGUCUCCAGUAAGUAGUACAAGAGGCCCGUUUUCGGCAUCGACUAGUAUCGGUCUGAAAGAAAGAUAUCGGUCAGUGCCACAUAUAUAUCGACAAGAAAGAAAAAUGCCCGUAUAUAUAUCGACACUGUUAAUUUAGUCCACCACUCUUACAUUGAGUGUGCGUGUAAUCCGUUGACUUGGUUUUACGUACCAGAGACUGAGACUAC